RNAcentral lists this ribosomal RNA (386 nucleotides) under uncultured bacterium. Its description in RNAcentral is "bacterial SSU rRNA". It matches the Rfam family "Bacterial small subunit ribosomal RNA", at positions 102 to 520 of the family's 1533-position model. The record is from RNAcentral.
ACGGGUGAGUAACACGUGACUAACCUACCCUGGAGUGGGGGAUAACUGAGGGAAACCUUAGCUAAUACCGCAUAACACCUACGGGUCAAAGGAGCAAUUCGCUUCAGGAGGGGGUCGCGGCCGAUUAGUUAGUUGGCAGGGUAAUGGCCUACCAAGACGAUGAUCGGUAUCCGGCCUGAGAGGGCGCACGGACACACUGGAACUGAAACACGGUCCAGACUCCUACGGGAGGCAGCAGUGGGGAAUUUUGCGCAAUGGGGGAAACCCUGACGCAGCAACGCCGCGUGGAGGAUGAAGUCCUUCGGGACGUAAACUCCUUUCGAUCGGGACGAUUAUGACGGUACCGGAAGAAGAAGCCCCGGCUAACUUCGUGCCAACAGCCGCGG